CGACCGGCGCACGGGUGAGUAACACGUAUGGAACCUGCCCUAUGCAGGGGGAUAAGCGGAAGAAAUUCCGUCUAAUACCGCACAACACCUUUAGGAGACAUCUUCUUGGGGUCAAAGGAGGCGACUCCGGCAUAGGAUGGCCAUGCGUCGCAUUAGCUAGUCGGCGGGGUAACGGCCCACCGAGGCGACGAUGCGUAGGGGUUCUGAGAGGAAGGUCCCCCACACUGGUACUGAGACACGGACCAGACUCCUACGGGAGGCAGCAG
RNAcentral lists this ribosomal RNA (266 nucleotides) under uncultured bacterium. RNAcentral describes it as "partial 16S ribosomal RNA". It matches the Rfam family "Bacterial small subunit ribosomal RNA", at positions 92 to 354 of the family's 1533-position model. The record is from RNAcentral.